RNAcentral lists this ribosomal RNA (523 nucleotides) under uncultured bacterium. RNAcentral describes it as "bacterial SSU rRNA". It matches the Rfam family "Bacterial small subunit ribosomal RNA", at positions 8 to 526 of the family's 1533-position model. The record is from RNAcentral.
AGGGUUCGAUUAUGGCUCAGAUUGAACGCUGGCGGUAGGCUUAACACAUGCAAGUCGUGCGAGAAAGUAUCUUCGGAUAUGAGUAGAGCGGCGGACGGGUGAGUAACGCGUAGGAAUCUACCUAGUAGAAGGGGAUAGCCCGGGGAAACCCGGAUUAAUACCGUAUACCUCCUUCGGGAGAAAGAAGGCCUCUCUUUGAAGCUUUCGCUACUAGAUGAGCCUGCGUAAGAUUAGCUUGUUGGUGAGGUAAAGGCUCACCAAGGCGACGAUCUUUAGCUGGUCUGAGAGGACGAUCAGCCACAUUGGGACUGAGACACGGCCCAGACUCCUACGGGAGGCAGCAGUGGGGAAUAUUGGACAAUGAGCGCAAGCCUGAUCCAGCCAUACCGCGUGUGUGAAGAAGGCCUUCGGGUUGUAAAGCACUUUAAGCAGGGAGAAAAAGUUAUAAGUUAAUACCUUAUAACCCUGAUGUUACCUGCAGAAUAAGCACCGGCUAAUUCCGUGCCAGCCGCCGCGGUAAUAC